Molecule: long non-coding RNA, 2219 nt
Organism: Micropterus dolomieu (smallmouth bass)
Lineage: Eukaryota; Metazoa; Chordata; Actinopteri; Centrarchiformes; Centrarchidae
Exons: 2
Source: RefSeq, a predicted model, not a curated record
UGUCAAUCAGGCUAGAGCCGACUUGUACCCUCGGCGCUGUGUAAAAUUUAACCAGCGCCGUUGAAAAAGCUUAUUAGGUGUUGGCUGUUCACUUUCUCUGGGCAUGUUCCCCUGAGCUCCUGGAGUUAGUGAGCAGGACCACAUCUGACCCCCAUCAGUAAAGAACCACCCAGGUGGAUCCACCACCAACACAUGGGAUUGCCAUUCCAGCAGCAGAGGUGGGGUCCAAAGCGCAAAGUGUGUCAGGGGCCUAUAAAUCAGGCCAAACUGCCUCUGACACACACAGGAAGGAGGCACGCCACACCGCAGGCGGAAGCGGUGCACGGGAAGACCAGAGACCACAGCCUGGCCAGAACCAGUAUAAUGCCUACAGCCAGGACCAGGGAGGCAAACACACAGCAGACAUUUACAAAAACACAUGCCAGCUAGCCCGCCAAAGACGAUGACGGACCGUAGAUUGACAUUUUUCCUUUUGGAAACGAGGAUUUGUGAUGUCUGAAGGGAAUGUAAUGGAAUUGGUGGGUUUAUGGAUCAGUAAGAGACCAACACAGACUCCACACUCGCAACUAAAGACGGAAAAAAGGUGAAUUGAAAUCAUCAAAACCUUUUACCUUUACAGGGAACACAGUCUAAAAAAAAAAAGAAAUCGAAAGGCAACAUUUUUCAACUAAACAAUGUCACUUCCCACAUGUUGGUGAGUAUACUGAGCAGCACCAGUGACAUAAAUCAGGAGCUGCUGACAUUUAUAGCGAAUGUUUACAAAGCCGUUUCUAGGAAGUGGAACACUACAUUUCAGAAGAGAAGCUCUUUGAUUAUCUCUUUAUCAAACCAGCCUUCACCACAUCGCAAAUGUCUCAAUGGAAACCUCGUCGAUGUGUGCGUUGGCGCAGGAGGUUGCACCAUCGGGAGAGCCCUGAUGAAACCAGUCAUAAAGGGGACACCCAUGCCCACUCGUACACCCACUCCCUGUCCCUGAUGGUGACUCAUUCUCGAUGGCUCAUCACGGAGGGGUUCCCCAAACUUGUACAGUGACGACACUUCAACUUUCACUUCUUCUAAAAUUGAUUCAGUGUUAACUGAGUCAAUUUUUCCAUCAGCCUUUGUGUCUUUUUCAUAAAAAAGUUUGAUGUGAUGGUGAAGCCUUGUUUAACCUUUCUACCUCCAUUAACCUUUUCUUACUUCUUGCCUCUGUUACUACAGUGCGGCACAGUGUGAGUCCCGUGUAUCUUAUAAGACAAAUGAUCAGAAAAACCCACCUGCUCUUACACCCCAUGAAUUUACAAUGAAAUAGGAAAUCCCAAUAUGAGUAGGCCUGCACAUAACUAUAUUACAGUAAAACAGGUAUCUCGCAAUGUCAAUAGAGAGUUACUUCUGCUUACAUUGCUCGUGUGUUCUCACAUAAGCAACUGAACGUUUUUAAUUCUAGUCCAAGACUGUAGAUACAUUUUAGACCAAUUUGGAGUGGAUAAAUAACCUUGCAAGCAUAGAUUCUGAUCAUCUACAUGCAGUAUCUCACAAAAGUGAGUACACCCCUCACAUUUUUGUAAAUGUUUGAUUAUAUCUUUUCAUGUGACAACACUGAAGAAAUGACACUUUGCUACAAUACUGCUGGUAUAACAGUGUAAAUUUACUGUCCCCUCAAAAUAACACAUCACACAGUCAUCAAUGUCUAAACCGCUGACAAUAAAACGUGAGCACACAAGUGUAAGUACACACACUAAGUACACACGUUAUACAAGCUGUACACUCACUACUUUACAUUGCAGCAAAGUGUCAUUUCUUCAGUGUUGUCACAUGAAAAGAUACAAUCAAAUAUUUACAUAAAUGUGAGGGAUGUACUCCCUUUUGUGAGAUACUGUAGUCUUCGUUUUGUAAUAUUUACAAAAAAGAACAAGAAAACCAAUCUAUCAAGGAAUACAACAAAAUUCAUCCUUUCUGAUGACUGAGUUUGACUUUUUAGGUGCGACAAAUCAGUAUUGAUACACAUUAUAACCCAGUCAAACCCAAUAUUAUGUUACACUAAUGUCAUGUCAUUCAGAUGUUACAUUGUCACCAAUAUCACAACAUGUUGAGGAAUUUCUUCUAUAUCUCCAGACACUGACACUGUUCUUUCUUUCCUUUUUGACAGUUUAUGGCUGUAUGAAUUCUGAAUAAAAUGGUGUUCAUGUUGCUGUAAGUGUAUUAAUAAAUGCUAGAGCUGUUUCACUUUGGCACACACA